UAGAGGGUCUUAGCUAAAGCCAGGAG
Molecule: unclassified non-coding RNA, 26 nt
Filed under: Mus musculus (house mouse)
Lineage: Eukaryota; Metazoa; Chordata; Mammalia; Rodentia; Muridae
Description: oocyte_clustered_small_RNA13501
Source: RNAcentral